CCCCUGUCCCCUAGGACCUGAGGACACCCGUGAGCCGUCAAUGACCUCAAAGCCAGAAAGCAAGGCCUGUGAACAGCUGCAAUGAGGCGCCUUCGCUCUCUGACCCGCUAUCAGGUAUGUCUUCAAACCUAUGGAUAAAAAUUACAACUGGUCAACAACAAC
Lutra lutra (Eurasian river otter) is the source of this 162-nucleotide long non-coding RNA. RefSeq lists it as uncharacterized. The record is from RefSeq and is a predicted model, not a curated record. The transcript is spliced from 3 exons. NCBI's taxonomy places the organism in Eukaryota, Metazoa, Chordata, Mammalia, Carnivora, Mustelidae.